This 259-nucleotide ribosomal RNA is filed under the name uncultured bacterium. Its description in RNAcentral is "partial 16S ribosomal RNA". It matches the Rfam family "Bacterial small subunit ribosomal RNA", at positions 793 to 1055 of the family's 1533-position model. The record is from RNAcentral.
GUCCACGCCCUAACGAUGACGACUACUUGUUGGGUAGAAGUACCUUAGUAACGCAGCUAACGCGUGAAGUCGUCCGCCUGGGAGUACGGUCGCAAGAUUAAAACUCAAAGGAAUUGACGGGCCCGCACAAGCGGUGGAUGAUGUGGAUUAAUUCGAUGCAACGCGAAAACCUUACCCGGGCUCGAAAAUGCACGAACCUGGCUGAAAAGGCCGGGGUGCUCGCAAAGAGAGCGUGUAUCAGGUGCUGCAUGGCUGUCGU